Molecule: long non-coding RNA, 1015 nt
Filed under: Vigna radiata
Lineage: Eukaryota; Viridiplantae; Streptophyta; Magnoliopsida; Fabales; Fabaceae
Description: long non-coding RNA (VRAD_LNC007934)
Source: RNAcentral
UUUCAAUUGGGUCCUCCAAUUUUGGAAGUGAUCAAUUGGAUCCCUAAUUUGAUAAAUUUGAUUUAAUAAUAACUUUUUCGUUGAAUGCAAUUAACGGCGUUGACUUUUUUAACAUGUGGCAAGCUGAGGCAGCAAGUGGCACAGUUUGGAUUUUUAUCAUUUUAAAUUCAUUUUCUCGCUUCUCUGACCGCAUUUUCCCUCUUCUCGACGUAGAGAGGCUUAUCCAUUUUUGAAAUAUUUCACAGAUUCUUGUCCUAUCAAAGCUCCAGUCAAGGCCCCCAACAAAGUUCCCAAUGCAGAUAAAACAAUCCAUCAAAACUUGUUGUACCUUAAGCAUAGCACAUGGUGCCAAUAGGAUAAGAAAAACAUUAACCACACAACACAAAUUUGUAUGUCUUUGAAGAUUAAAAUAACAAAACAAAACAACACAAGCAAAACAGUCCAACCAAGAAAAUGGCGAACCUCCACCCCAUGUUUCAAGUUUCAAUUUUUAUAAAAAAAAAAAUACGCAUUUAUGUCUCAAUCGAAAGCCCCCGACAUCACACAACAGAAUACAAUGACAACAAUCCACCCAAAAAGAUUAAAAACACGAUAAGAAAAGGCAAAACCCAUGACGAUAGGAGGAAAAUAGAAGCAGAUCAAGAGUUCAGAUUAGAUUAUAUAAUGUAACGAAAGGAGAAUGGAAAUAAACAGAAGAGAAAGAAGAAGCGAACCUAAUGCAAAGCAGAAGGUCAAGAUCACAGAGAAGAUGUUCCCAAUGACAGCGGAGACGGCGAGGAGAAACAUAAACGAGUACAAGUUGCGGGAGACUCUAACGUAGAGAGGCUUAACCAUUUUGAAAUAUUUUUGCACGACUUCUUUGGUGAAACGCUUCUCUUCGGAUGGUGGUGGUUGUUCGUUGGAAGUGUAUUUUUGGGUUUUGUUGUUUCCUUUGGAGGUGAAGACAGAGACGAUGGGGCUUCUUCCACUUUGAAUUUGAAGGUGAAGUGCUUCCCCAAAUGCCAGCAUAACCCAG